UAAGAGACAAUAAACACAUGACAAGGAAAUAAGCAGGCAGAAAAGCCUAUGAUACAAAUCACGCUUGUAUCUGUGUUGUUACAGUUACAUUGUAUUUCCUUCUAACACAGACAGCUGUAGCAGGUGCUGUUUGUAAAGAACACUGUAAAAACAUGGGGAAAAAAAAUAUAUAUGAGUAGGGUAAUACACUUGCUGGGAUGCAUUUGUAAUUAAUAGCAGAAGAAUUUCCCCUGUGUUGCUAUCACACAUUUUGCAUGUAAGGAUUCCAUCAAGACACAAACUUUCAGCCCCAGCUCAGUGCUAAGAAGUUUUUGCAUUGCAGUCUUUGCUUCAGAGUUGUGCUGAUGCAUACAGCACUUUGCCUGAAGCAAAGACAGCUCAGGCAAGUGGAAGUGGAGCACUAAGCCAGAUGGGGCUGCACAGCAGAGUCUGUAUGGACAGAACAGGACCUGAGGCACACCUGAUGCAUGGAGGAAUCCCUGUAUCUGUGCAGAUCAAGUGAAGUUGUGCUGAACUUAUGAAGCCGGCUCCCAUAUACUUUCUGCUUGUCUGUUUUGUAAGUCUUGAGAAUAAUUCAGCUGCAGAAGUAUAUAUGCUUGCAGGGCAAAGACAGAAAGAAAGCAACAGAUGACGUAUGUGCGUGUUCACCAUUAGCAUAACUGGUUUCUUUAUGCUCCAGUGUGGGAGUAGCUUUCAAAAGGCAAGGUGAAUUCAUUGCUUUCACAACCAGAUCUGCUAUGCCAUUACAAAGGCUUGGGAAUGCACACAGGGAAAACUAGCUGCUUGAGGCUUGUUUAUUUAGUUUAAGGGCAGGUCCCUCCUUCUUCUUAUAGACAGCACAAUCGGAUGAUAUCAGUUCUUUAAUCACUAUUUUUUACUGCAGUAUAGAUGGGUGCAGCAAUAUAGAUAUAUAAAACAACAACAGAAUUUCUGCCUCAAGGAGCUUCUGAUACUGGGAUCAUCUAAAACUUCUGCCAAAGUCUGUGGGAACUUCAAGGGGAAUUAGAUCAGGACUAAUGAUAAAAGUUGAGUAGUUAAAGAAUGAGAACUGUGAGAAGAAUCAACACUGACAAGAAACUGCUGGAAGUAGUGCUCAACACCAGAUUACCAAGAGAUACUCCAGUUGGAACCAGUUGAAAGAACUGUGACCUCAGUCAUAUAGAACCAGAGCUAGGUGCAGCAUCACAGAUGCCAGCCUGUGUCCCCAGCACUGGGGUGACUCUUUUCUCAUCUUGCACACCAAAGGCCAGCAGAAUAUUACAAAUGUAUCUCUCCAGAGAUCACUCACAUAAGUAAACUGACCUUUGGGCUUAUUGCCAUAGCAGAAGAUAUAACCAUUGCCACUGGGACAGGCUUUCCUCAUCUGCUCUCCUCUGCACCAUGCAGAAGGGCUCCUACAACUCUCCCACCAGAACAUUGCGUUGAGACUGAUACUGCAGGAGGCUCCCAGACUGAAUUUUUCUGCUUGCACAGCUAUUCUUUGUCCCCAGGAGAAAGUACAGCAGCAAAGACAAAAGCAUCCUGUGAAGCACAUGUUGAGCUAUGGUUAAUGACGCCAACAUGCUCAUGCCAGAAAUUCUAACAAUCUACCAUUACAUAGAAAGACUGCCUCCCCAACAAAAUCUCUUUACGGCAUUCAGAGCAUUCCCUACAUGUCAGUAUUUUCAGAUCACAGCUAUGUGACACCCACCAUGGUAAGAUCAAGUUGCAGCAGCAGGUCUGCACCACUCAGCCAUCCUCCAAAGAGAAGGCUCUGAUGAAAUGACAACAAGGUGUCCCUGCCAAACUGAAGCACGGCCUGCUAUGACAAUUCUAGCAUGCAUGGAGAACCAGCAGAAAGUAGAAAACAAAACAUAUUUAACAGUACAUGGUAAUAUUACAUUUAGAGAAAAGGAUUGUGGGUUUAAUGGAAAAAGAAAGCAUUAUCAAAUGAAGGACGAGUUAUCCUGAAAAAAAAAAAAAAAAAAAAAAA
Non-coding RNA from Meleagris gallopavo (turkey), 1972 nucleotides. The record is from RefSeq and is a predicted model, not a curated record. NCBI's taxonomy places the organism in Eukaryota, Metazoa, Chordata, Aves, Galliformes, Phasianidae.